RNAcentral lists this transfer RNA (75 nucleotides) under Bacillota bacterium. Its description in RNAcentral is "tRNA-Trp". It matches the Rfam family "tRNA". Rfam says of the family: Transfer RNA (tRNA) molecules are approximately 80 nucleotides in length. Their secondary structure includes four short double-helical elements and three loops (D, anti-codon, and T loops). Further hydrogen bonds mediate the characteristic L-shaped molecular structure. tRNAs have two regions of fundamental functional importance: the anti-codon, which is responsible for specific mRNA codon recognition, and the 3' end, to which the tRNAs corresponding amino acid is attached (by aminoacyl-tRNA synthetases). tRNAs cope with the degeneracy of the genetic code in two manners: having more than one tRNA (with a specific anti-codon) for a particular amino acid; and 'wobble' base-pairing, i.e. permitting non-standard base-pairing at the 3rd anti-codon position. RNAcentral also lists the same sequence under 3 other names. The record is from RNAcentral. Lineage: Bacteria; Bacillati; Bacillota.
AGGGGUGUGGCUCAAUGGUAGAGUAGCGGUCUCCAAAACCGUAGGUUGUGGGUUCGAGUCCUACCACCCCUGCCA